CCCCGGUAAACGGCGGCCGUAACUAUAACGGUCCUAAGGUAGCGAAAUUCCUUGUCGGGUAAGUUCCGACCUGCACGAAUGGCGUAAUGAUGGCCAGGCUGUCUCCACCCGAGACUCAGUGAAAUUGAACUCGCUGUGAAGAUGCAGUGUACCCGCGGCAAGACGGAAAGACCCCGUGAACCUUUACUAUAGCUUGACACUGAACAUUGAGCCUUGAUGUGUAGGAUAGGUGGGAGGCUUUGAAGUGUGGACGCCAGUCUGCAUGGAGCCGACCUUGAAAUACCACCCUUUAAUGUUUGAUGUUCUAACGUGGACCCGUAAUCCGGGUUGCGGACAGUGUCUGGUGGGUAGUUUGACUGGGGCGGUCUCCUCCUAAAGAGUAACGGAGGAGCACGAAGGUUGGCUAAUCCUGGUCGGACAUCAGGAGGUUAGUGCAAUGGCAUAAGCCAGCUUGACUGCGAGCGUGACGGCGCGAGCAGGUGCGAAAGCAGGUCAUAGUGAUCCGGUGGUUCUGAAUGGAAGGGCCAUCGCUCAACGGAUAAAAGGUACUCCGGGGAUAACAGGCUGAUACCGCCCAAGAGUUCAUAUCGACGGCGGUGUUUGGCACCUCGAUGUCGGCUCAUCAC
Molecule: ribosomal RNA, 626 nt
Filed under: Salmonella enterica
Lineage: Bacteria; Pseudomonadati; Pseudomonadota; Gammaproteobacteria; Enterobacterales; Enterobacteriaceae
Also listed under: 2 other names
Description: partial 23S ribosomal RNA
Rfam family: Bacterial large subunit ribosomal RNA
Source: RNAcentral